GAGGACCGUAUUCAUGGAAGAGGAUCGAACAGUAAAGAGCCCAGCAUUUGAUAAAAAUGAGAAUAUAUCGCCUCAAGCAGAAGCAGAUGAAGAUAUGGGAGAUGAAGUAGACAGUAUGUUGGAUAAAUCUGAAGACAUGAAAUAGGCAGUAUGUUGGAUAAAUCUGGAGGUCUCUGCUAAGAAAAACUGAGAACUUCACUAUGACAUUUAUAAGACGCUUCACAUAAAGAGAAAAUGGAUGGAAACUUAUGUCAAAGAAUCUUUCAAAGGCAGGAACCAGAAAUUAGAAAGAUUUUGCAAAAUGAACGAACGAGAGAGGAAGAACAUCAACAACAAAUUUUGUGAGCAGUAUAUAACUACAUUUCAGAAGUCUUAUAUGGAUGUACAGAAAUUCAAUGAGGAAAAAGAAAAAUCAGUGUUGUCAAAAAGAACAACAAGCAUUGAAACUGUCCAAAUGUAGUCAGAACCAGACCCUGGAAGCAGGUAAAGAAAUGCAUGAGAAGUCCAUGGAGCUGCAUCAUUGGACUCAAACUGAAUGGUCCAUGUGUUGCCACUGAUGUGAGCCAUU
RNAcentral lists this long non-coding RNA (568 nucleotides) under Mus musculus (house mouse). RNAcentral describes it as "predicted gene, 21679". Lineage: Eukaryota; Metazoa; Chordata; Mammalia; Rodentia; Muridae. The record is from RNAcentral.